This 760-nucleotide ribosomal RNA is filed under the name uncultured bacterium. RNAcentral's name for it is "bacterial SSU rRNA". It matches the Rfam family "Bacterial small subunit ribosomal RNA", at positions 8 to 796 of the family's 1533-position model. The record is from RNAcentral.
AGAGUUUGAUCAUGGCUCAGGAUGAACGUUGGCGGCAUGCUUAACACAUGCAAGUCGAACGCAGGCUUCGGCCUGAGUGGCGAACGGGUGCGUAACACGUAGGUGACCUGGCCUGGAGUGGGGGAUAACCCUCGGAAACGGGGGCUAAUACCGCAUGGUCUGGAGGCAUUUUGAAAGCCUUCAGUAAAGCUUAAUGUGCUCUAGGGGGGGCCUGCGGCCUAUCAGGUAGUUGGUGGGGUAAAAGCCUACCAAGCCGAUGACGGGUAGCUGACCUGAGAGGGUGGUCAGCCACAGGGGAACUGAGACACGGUCCCCACUCCUACGGGAGGCAGCAGUGAGGAAUAUUGGGCAAUGGGGGCAACCCUGACCCAGCAAUGCCGCGUGCGGGAGGACGCCCUUCGGGGUGUAAACCGCUUUUGUGAGGGAGGAGCAAGGACCGUACCUCACGAAGAAGUCACGGCUAACUACGUGCCAGCAGCCGCGGUAAUACGUAGGUGGCGAACGUUAUCCGGAGUUACUGGGCGUAAAGGGUCCGCAGGCGGGCUUGCAAGUCCGGCGUGAAAUCUUCUGGCUUAACUAGAAGAGGUCGUUGGAAACUGCAGGUCUAGCAUCCCGCAGAGGUCGGUGGAAUUCCCGGUGUAGUGGUGGAAUGCGUAGAGAUCGGGAGGAACCUCGAAAGCGAAGGCAGCCGGCUGGGCGCGGAUGGACGCUGAGGGACGAAAGCGUGGGGAGCGAACAGGAUUAGAUACCCUAGUAGUCC